Molecule: RNA transcript, 3736 nt
Organism: Scaptodrosophila lebanonensis
Lineage: Eukaryota; Metazoa; Arthropoda; Insecta; Diptera; Drosophilidae
Gene name: transcription elongation regulator 1
Exons: 5
Source: RefSeq, a predicted model, not a curated record
CUAAGUUGUAGAAAAUUGAUGAAAACCCAAUAAAUGCAAAGUGUUUUAAGUGCAGAAUUAAAUAUUGUUAAAUGGAAACAAGCUUAGACGAGAGCAUGGACAGUGAACGUGCUAGUCCGCAAGCGAAUUUUAAUGAUGUAUCCAGUCGUUCGCCUCAUGGCAUAAAUGGCAAUGGUGUCACCGUCGAAGGGGUGGUGGGGGCUGCUAGUUCUCAGGCAGAAAAAGUGAACUCCAAUGAGCCGCCAUGGGGCAGUAAAACUUUUACGGCGUUUAGCGUUCGUUCUGUCGGCGAACACCCGCACCCACAACAGCAGCAGCCGCAACAGCAGCAUGGGCCGCCGCCUCUGAUGGCACAAGGGCCGCCGCCAAAUGCUAAUGGCAUGUUGGCAGUCACGCAACCGCCGCAGGAGACUUGGGUGGAGACAAAAGCCGAUGAUGGCCGUUCGUAUUAUUACCACUCUGUGACAAGAGAGACAACGUGGACACGUCCUGAGGGGCUGCAUAUUAAGAUAUUGACACAAGCUGAAAUUGAAGAACUCUCAAAGCGAGGCCCCGCAGCAGCAGCAACAGCUGUGCCAAUGAAUAAACCGGAUGGGGAGAAUGAAAAACUGCCGAGCGGCGCCAGCGAUGUCCCACCAGUUGGUCCUCAUCUUACAUCGCAGCCGCCGCCACACCUAAUGAAUCAACCGCCACCCAAUGCGGCACAAGCACCACUGCUCUCGCAGCCACCACCUAAUGUGCGUCAACAGCCGCCACCCAUGUUCCAACCGGGCAUGCAACCACCGGGGUUUGGACAACCGCCGUUUUGCAUGCCGCCGCCUGCAUAUGGUUUUCCAGGUGCAGGACCUGCUGGUCCCUGGGGUGUAGGAGUUCCGCCUUGGCAGCAACAGCCCAUGCAUGCUCCGCCUCCCUCAGCUGGUCAUCAGGAUAAGCCUGCGAAGAAUCUAAUCAUAAAACCUGGUGUCAUCGAUCCAGCGGUUAUUGCGCGAGCUGCUGAAUGGUCAGAACAUCGGGCUCCUGACGGCAGACCUUAUUACUUUCAUGCGGGACGUGGCGAAAGUGUGUGGGAGAAGCCACAAGCAUUGCGGGAUAUGGAGGCGGCACGCAUGGCCGCACAUUCCGGUGCUUCGCCACAGACAUUAGCAGCUCCACCGGGGCAGGCGCCACCAGUUGGUGCACCUACCGGCAUGCCGCCACAUCUGCUGCCCAAUCCAAUGAUGCAUAUGCCGCCCGGCACUGCACCUGGAUUCGAUCCUCAAAUGGCUUUUGCUGCUGCCGCCGCCGCCAUGAAGGCUAAUACCGAAAACUCCAAGGCAGCCCAGGCAGCUGCUCUGGAGAAGGAGGCGAAGAAGGCCGCCGAGGAAAAACGCAAGAAGGCCGAGGAAGAGCAAAAGAAACAGGCCGCCGCUGCCAAGCAAACAGACAAGUCGCGUCCUGUGACUAGCAUCGCAAUUGCCGGGACACCCUGGUGUGUGGUCUGGACUGGAGAUGCGAGAGUUUUCUUCUACAACCCAUCCACGCGCACAUCUGUUUGGGACAGACCCGAAGAUCUCAUGGGACGCGAAGAUGUUGACAAAGCAGUGCGUGAACGACCCGACCAGCUGAAGUCGCCACAUGAGAAAUCAGUCGAGGCAGAGCAGAAGACCGCUGUCGAGGAAAGCAAAGCUAAGCCAGAACAACAACAGGCACUAGUCACCACCAAUCAGCUAUUACAGCAGGUACAGGCGCAGCGCAUGGAGGAGGAUGACGAUGAGGUCAUUAAAAUACGCACAGAGUCCGAGUCCAGUGUUGAGGAGGUCCCAACCAAGCGAGUCCGCAUGCUGAACAAGGCCAAGAAGAACGAGGAUGCUGUAUUGGAGGCUGAACAGCGUGCUGCCAAGGAACGCGCAUUGGUACCCCUGGAGACGCGAGUAACUCAGUUCAAGGAGAUGUUGCGCGAAAAGGAUGUGUCCGCUUUCAGCACUUGGGAGAAGGAGUUGCAUAAGAUUGUGUUCGACCCGCGCUACUUGCUGCUGACAUCGAAGGAACGUAAACAGGUAUUUGAAAAAUAUGUCAAGGAUCGUGCUGAGGAGGAGCGUAAGGAGAAGCGUAAUAAGAUGCGACAGAAGCGGGACGAUUUCCGAAAGCUCAUGGAAGAGGUCAAGCUGCAUGGCAAGUCCUCUUUCAGCGAGUUCUGUCAGCGCAAUGCCAAGGACGAUCGCUUCCGGGCCAUCGAGAAGGUGCGGGAACGGGAGAGCCUCUUCAACGAGUACAUUGUGGAGGUGCGGCGACGGGAGAAGGAGGACAAGCUGCUGAGGAAAGAGCAGGUAUGUGUCGAUGCGUGCAUGCGAUUGCCGCUGUUAAUUACGUAUCGCAAAUAUAUAACAAACCACAAUUGAAAAUCAUUGUCCCGGCAAUGGUUGUACAUAUAUAUCUCUAUUCUUAUAAUGAUAUCUAUAAAUAUUAAUUUAACCUUAUAUAAUACAACAUAUUUACAUAAUGUGAUUUUUUGUUAAUUUUAAAACAUAAACAUCGUACAAACGACGACCCUCCUGCCCCCUCGUGUCGUUUCGGUUUGUUGCAAAUGUCACACAAAACACAACAACUACAACAAUAAACAACAACUCCACCGUGUAGCAAACACUAUUGUUGUGCGCAAUUGUCGCCGCUUGAUGUUGUGUGUGAGUUCACAGAGUACUGAAAAUGCGCAACGCCCACAAAAUAAUAGUAAUAAUAACAAAUAACAAUGUCCAUGCAAAUCUGAUCAUCUGCCUUGAAACGAGAAUUGAAUUGAUCGGAUCUGUAAACCGAUACGAAACGAAACGAAUUGAUAUCGAUUGUCUGCCAGCCGUCAUCGUCGAUAGUCGAUCUUCGUUGCCAUCUUCAACUACACCACGCACACGCUUGCAAUCCUGUGUGGAAAGAUGAAGAUGAUGGUGAUGAUGUUGCGAUGGUGAUGAGAUGAUGAGGAAGAUGAUGAUGUUUUAGAUGAUAUUGAGAGUUAUGGAUGAUGGCAUUGGAGCCAGAAAAGGAGUCACAACCACAACAACGGCUGGAUUAGCUACAACAGCAACAACAACUAGAGGAGGAACAACAACGACGACUUCUACUACUUCUACAUUACAAUACGUAUGCAGGUGGCUUCGGCGCUGAGCAAACAGUAUGAAUAAUACAUAAUUUAAUUAACCCAAUAUAUAUUUUUUAAUUUGUUUCUUGUUUAAAAAUAAUCGAUGAAUGUUCUAAUGACCAACUCAACAAAGUUCAUCAUUUUGUUGGCAUGUGCCAGGCAAAUGGAUCCUGAAUUCUCCACCAAUAAUUGGAGACAAUAGACUAUUUCUCCAUUUGCCUGCACAAGCUUAAACAACGGCAUUUUGGGCUCGUUGGAAACUCACUCUCUAUAGACAUUACCUUUUUAUAAAACGAUACACCUAAGCAUAUUUUAGUUUUAAAUACUGUUUGUAUUUGUACGAUACGGCAUAGCCGUAGAAUUUUUAAUAAUAGCCUCGUGCACAAUGGGAAGAAAUGGUAUAAUUGAACGAUUAUAAAAAGGGGGGAUUGGGAUUGAAAGAAUUAAAAAGUCCCAUGUUUAAUUUUACGGAUGGGAGAGAUAGUGUAAUUAUGGCAAACUUUUUAAAUUAUGAGAAAGUGUGGGAUCGGGUUUGAUAUCAAAACCAAAAACGAUAUAACUCUGUAUUUUUCAGUUAAUUUUAGUAGAAUGCCAUAAAUAUCAGUCGUAAUAGAUUAGAAGAAACAUUUC